GAUGAACGCUGGCGGCGUGCCUAAUACAUGCAAGUCGAGCGAACGGACGAGAAGCUUGCUUUUCUGAUGUUAGCGGCGGACGGGUGAGUAACACGUGGAUAACCUACCUAUAAGACUGGGAUAACUUCGGGAAACCGGAGCUAAUACCGGAUAAUACUUUGAACCGCAUGGUUCAAAAGUGAAAGACGGUCUUGCUGUCACUUAUAGAUGGAUCCGCGCUGCAUUAGCUAGUUGGUAAGGUAACGGCUUACCAAGGCAACGAUGCAUAGCCGACCUGAGAGGGUGAUCGGCCACACUGGAACUGAGACACGGUCCAGACUCCUACGGGAGGCAGCAGUAGGGAAUCUUCCGCAAUGGGCGAAAGCCUGACGGAGCAACGCCGCGUGAGUGAUGAAGGUCUUCGGAUCGUAAAACUCUGUUAUUAGGGAAGAACAUAUGUGUAAGUAACUGUGCACAUCUUGACGGUACCUAAUCAGAAAGCCACGGCUAACUACGUGCCAGCAGCCGCGGUAAUACGUAGGUGGCAAGCGUUAUCCGGAAUUAUUGGGCGUAAAGCGCGCGUAGGCGGUUUUUUAAGUCUGAUGUGAAAGCCCACGGCUCAACCGUGGAGGGUCAUUGGAAACUGGAAAACUUGAGUGCAGAAGAGGAAAGUGGAAUUCCAUGUGUAGCGGCGAAAUGCGCAGAGAUGUGGAGGAACACCAGUGGCGAAGGCGACUUUCUGGUCUGUAACUGACGCUGAUGUGCGAAAGCGUGGGGAUCAAACAGGAUUAGAUACCCUGGUAGUCCACGCCGUAAACGAUGAGUGCUAAGUGUUAGGGGGUUUCCGCCCCUUAGUGCUGCAGCUAACGCAUUAAGCACUCCGCCUGGGGAGUACGACCGCAAGGUUGAAACUCAAAGGAAUUGACGGGGGCCCGCACAAGCGGUGGAGCAUGUGGUUUAAUUCGAAGCAACGCGAAGAACCUUACCAAAUCUUGACAUCCUUUGACAACUCUAGAGAUAGAGCCUUCCCCUUCGGGGGACAAAGUGACAGGUGGUGCAUGGUUGUCGUCAGCUCGUGUCGUGAGAUGUUGGGUUAAGUCCCGCAACGAGCGCAACCCUUAAGCUUAGUUGCCAUCAUUAAGUUGGGCACUCUAAGUUGACUGCCGGUGACAAACCGGAGGAAGGUGGGGAUGACGUCAAAUCAUCAUGCCCCUUAUGAUUUGGGCUACACACGUGCUACAAUGGACAAUACAAAGGGCAGCGAAACCGCGAGGUCAAGCAAAUCCCAUAAAGUUGUUCUCAGUUCGGAUUGUAGUCUGCAACUCGACUACAUGAAGCUGGAAUCGCUAGUAAUCGUAGAUCAGCAUGCUACGGUGAAUACGUUCCCGGGUCU
This 1372-nucleotide ribosomal RNA is filed under the name uncultured bacterium. Its description in RNAcentral is "bacterial SSU rRNA". It matches the Rfam family "Bacterial small subunit ribosomal RNA", at positions 28 to 1381 of the family's 1533-position model. The record is from RNAcentral.